GUCAUAUGCUUGUCUCAAAGAUUAAGCCAUGCAUGUCUCAGUACAAGCCAAAUUAAGGUGAAACCGCGAAAGGCUCAUUAAAUCAGUUAUGGUUCCUUAGAUCGUACCCACAAUUACUUGGAUAACUGUGGUAAUUCUAGAGCUAAUACAUGCAAACAGAGCUCCGACCGGAGACGGAAGGAGUGCUUUUAUUAGAUCAAAACCAAUCGGUGGCGGGUUCGCUCGUCAUCGUACAACUUGGUGACUCUGAAUAACUUUACGCUGAUCGCACGGUCACCGCGCCGGCGACGCAUCUUUCAAAUGUCUGCCUUAUCAACUGUCGAUGGUAGGUUCUGCGCCUACCAUGGUUGUAACGGGUAACGGGGAAUCAGGGUUCGAUUCCGGAGAGGGAGCCUGAGAAACGGCUACCACAUCCAAGGAAGGCAGCAGGCGCGCAAAUUACCCACUCCCGGCACGGGGAGGUAGUGACGAAAAAUAACGAUACGGGACUCAUCCGAGGCCCCGUAAUCGGAAUGAGUACACUCUAAACCCUUUAACGAGGAUCAAUUGGAGGGCAAGUCUGGUGCCAGCAGCCGCGG
RNAcentral lists this ribosomal RNA (578 nucleotides) under Cryptorhynchini gen. sp. ARC1553. RNAcentral's name for it is "SSU rRNA". It matches the Rfam family "Eukaryotic small subunit ribosomal RNA", at positions 23 to 579 of the family's 1831-position model. The record is from RNAcentral. Lineage: Eukaryota; Metazoa; Arthropoda; Insecta; Coleoptera; Curculionidae.